GAAAUCCUGAGACAUUCGAGAAGGUUACUUCUAAAUUCAACCGACAAAUUAAAUUCGGGAGAUUGAGUUUGAUUGUGAGUAUGAUAUGCCUUGAUUUUAUCAAGGACUUUAAAAAGCAACUAACAGAUCACCCACCUGGGAGUAUCUCGGGUAUGAAUUUACAAUACCGACGGUGUUUCGGGACUGAU
This is a non-coding RNA of 188 nucleotides. It matches the Rfam family "6S / SsrS RNA". Rfam says of the family: E. coli 6S RNA was the first non coding RNA to be sequenced, but its function was unknown until recently. It consists of 184 nucleotides that fold into an extended hairpin structure with a large single-stranded internal bulge. The record is from Rfam.